CUAGCAGUAUCAGAGUUUGAUCCUGGCUCAGGAUGAACGCUAGCGGCAGGCCUAACACAUGCAAGUCGAGGGGUAGGAGCAGCUUGCUGCUUUGAGACCGGCGCACGGGUGCGUAACGCGUAUGCAAUCUACCUUAUACUAAGGGAUAGCCCGGAGAAAUCCGGAUUAAUACCUUAUGGUUCUUAUGAAUAGCAUUAUUUAUAGAAUAAAGAUUUAUCGGUAUAAGAUGAGCAUGCGUCCCAUUAGUUAGUUGGUGUGGUAACGGCACACCAAGACGAUGAUGGGUAGGGGUCCUGAGAGGGAGAUCCCCCACACUGGUACUGAGACACGGACCAG
Molecule: ribosomal RNA, 336 nt
Filed under: uncultured bacterium
Lineage: Bacteria
Description: bacterial SSU rRNA
Rfam family: Bacterial small subunit ribosomal RNA
Source: RNAcentral